ACAGCAGUCGCCGCGGUAAUACGGAGGGUGCAAGCGUUAAUCGGAAUUACUGGGCGUAAAGCGCACGCAGGCGGUCUGACAAGUCAGAUGUGAAAUCCCCGGGCUUAACCUGGGAACUGCAUUUGAAACUGGCAGGCUAGAGUCUUGUAGAGGGGGGUAGAAUUCCAGGUGUAGCGGUGAAAUGCGUAGAGAUCUGGAGGAAUACCGGUGGCGAAGGCGGCCCCCUGGACAAAGACUGACGCUCAGGUGCGAAAGCGUGGGGAGCAAACAGGAUUAGAUACCCCGGUAGUCCCUGUCUCUUAUAA
RNAcentral lists this ribosomal RNA (305 nucleotides) under uncultured bacterium. RNAcentral describes it as "partial 16S ribosomal RNA". It matches the Rfam family "Bacterial small subunit ribosomal RNA", at positions 508 to 809 of the family's 1533-position model. The record is from RNAcentral.